GAUGAACGCUGGCGGCGUGCCUAAUACAUGCAAGUCGAGCGAACGGACGAGAAGCUUGCUUCUCUGAUGUUAGCGGCGGACGGGUGAGUAACACGUGGAUAACCUACCUAUAAGACUGGGAUAACUUCGGGAAACCGGAGCUAAUACCGGAUGAUAUUUUGAACCGCAUGGUUCAAAAGUGAAAGACGGUCUUGCUGUCACUUAUAGAUGGAUCCGCGCUGCAUUAGCUAGUUGGUAAGGUAACGGCUUACCAAGGCAACGAUGCAUAGCCGACCUGAGAGGAUGAUCGGCCACACUGGAACUGAGACACGGUCCAGACUCCUACGGGAGGCAGCAGUAGGGAAUCUUCCGCAAUGGGCGAAAGCCUGACGGAGCAACGCCGCGUGAGUGAUGAAGGUCUUCGGAUCGUAAAACUCUGUUAUUAGGGAAGAACAUAUGUGUAAGUAACUGUGCACAUCCUGACGGUACCUAAUCAGAAAGCCACGGCUAACUACGUG
RNAcentral lists this ribosomal RNA (497 nucleotides) under uncultured bacterium. RNAcentral's name for it is "partial 16S ribosomal RNA". It matches the Rfam family "Bacterial small subunit ribosomal RNA", at positions 28 to 507 of the family's 1533-position model. The record is from RNAcentral.